Molecule: transfer RNA, 74 nt
Filed under: Cautires sp. UPOL 000178
Lineage: Eukaryota; Metazoa; Arthropoda; Insecta; Coleoptera; Lycidae
Description: tRNA-Glu
Source: RNAcentral
AUUUCUUCUGCAUUUAUAUAGUUUAAUAAAAAACAUUAUAUUUUCAUUGUAAAAUUAAACAAUUUGUUUUAUAA